RNAcentral lists this ribosomal RNA (185 nucleotides) under Haemophilus sp. HMSC073C03. Its description in RNAcentral is "partial 16S ribosomal RNA". It matches the Rfam family "Bacterial small subunit ribosomal RNA", at positions 1 to 175 of the family's 1533-position model. Lineage: Bacteria; Pseudomonadati; Pseudomonadota; Gammaproteobacteria; Pasteurellales; Pasteurellaceae. The record is from RNAcentral.
ACUUGAAUUGAAGAGUUUGAUCAUGGCUCAGAUUGAACGCUGGCGGCAGGCUUAACACAUGCAAGUCGAACGGUAACAUAAAGAAGCUUGCUUCUUUGAUGACGAGUGGCGGACGGGUGAGUAAUGCUUGGGAAUCUAGCUUAUGGAGGGGGAUAACUACGGGAAACUGUAGCUAAUACCGCGUA